RNAcentral lists this ribosomal RNA (150 nucleotides) under Mucor fragilis. RNAcentral's name for it is "5.8S ribosomal RNA". It matches the Rfam family "5.8S ribosomal RNA". Rfam says of the family: 5.8S ribosomal RNA (5.8S rRNA) is a component of the large subunit of the eukaryotic ribosome. It is transcribed by RNA polymerase I as part of the 45S precursor that also contains 18S and 28S rRNA. Lineage: Eukaryota; Fungi; Mucoromycota; Mucoromycetes; Mucorales; Mucoraceae. RNAcentral also lists the same sequence under 1 other name. The record is from RNAcentral.
AACUUUUAACAACGGAUCUCUUGGUUCUCGCAUCGAUGAAGAACGUAGCAAAGUGCGAUAACUAGUGUGAAUUGCAUAUUCAGUGAAUCAUCGAGUCUUUGAACGCAACUUGCGCUCAUUGGUAUUCCAAUGAGCAUGCCUGUUUCAGUA